This 819-nucleotide ribosomal RNA is filed under the name Triticum aestivum (bread wheat). RNAcentral describes it as "partial small subunit ribosomal RNA". Lineage: Eukaryota; Viridiplantae; Streptophyta; Magnoliopsida; Poales; Poaceae. The record is from RNAcentral.
AUGGCGGACGCGGCCGGGAAGGCGCAGGCGGCCCGCGAGGUGUGCGCGGCGUCGGCGGCCUUCUCGUCCUGCCCGCAUCGCCGCCGCUCCCCGCGCCGCGCGAUCUUCGUCGACUGGUACCUCGUCCUCGCCAUCGGCGAGGCCGCGUCGGAGGACGCCAUCAAGCGGCGGUACCGGCACCUCGCUCUGCAGCUGCACCCGGACAAGAACAGGCACCCCAAGGCGGAGGUCGCCUUCAAGCUCGUCUCCGAGGCGCACGCGUGCCUGACGGACAAGGCGCGCCGGAGGAACUUCGACGCCGAGCGGGCCACGGCCUUCUGCGCCGCGUGCCAUGACCGUGCGAGGGCCGCCACGACGCCCUGCGCGCCCACCCGGCGGCGCGCCAGCGACAGGAGGACGCCGGCGUCGUCCGAGGCAGCGUCCGCACAGCAGCAGCACAACAAGGCCCGUGGCUCCGUCGCGAAGCAGCAGGGUGGCGGCGGGAGGAGGCCGCCCGCGCCGACGCAGGCGCUGCGGGAGGUGCAGAACCGGCUGCGGGACGAGUGCAGGGUCAUCGACGGCUGCCUGCGCGCCAACGCCGCCGGCGCGCGCAGGCGCCAGUCCUUCCCGCUCUUCGACCCGUCCGACAGGCAGCGCUUCCCGGACUACCCGCACGCCCGGCCCCCGCCGUCGUUCGCCGAGUGCCGGCCGUUCGAGGAGGAGGAGCUCCGCGCGGGCCAGCACCACGAGAGCUGGUGCACAAACGGCAGCUGCGAGUCGCCGGUGUACCAGGUCAGGACCGCGCCGGAGCACGCCACGAGGGCGAACCGCCCUUGGUGA